AUGGUUGAUGAGCAAGCAUGCGCUGUCUUUGAUAGCCUGAUCAAGAUCAACAUUGGAGAGGGUGCAAAGGUUCUAUUUUGGAAGGAUCGGUGGAUCCAUGGAGUUGCGGUGAAAGACAUUGCUCCGCUGCUCACUCAACUUGUUAGCACAAGAGAUAGCAAUAGGAGAAUGGUGCGCGAUGCCCUCCUUGACAAUGCCUGGACGAAUGAUAUCAAUGGAGAGCUCACUUUCUUGGGACACAUGCAAGUUUACAUGCUGAUCCAAGCCAUUAGCAUUGUGGAGAGAAACGUGGAUGAACCUGAUCGCUUCCAGUGGCCCUAUGACGCAUAG
RNAcentral lists this ribosomal RNA (330 nucleotides) under Triticum aestivum (bread wheat). RNAcentral's name for it is "partial small subunit ribosomal RNA". Lineage: Eukaryota; Viridiplantae; Streptophyta; Magnoliopsida; Poales; Poaceae. The record is from RNAcentral.